This 702-nucleotide small RNA is filed under the name Malus domestica (apple). Its description in RNAcentral is "sRNA MD16G0139500". Lineage: Eukaryota; Viridiplantae; Streptophyta; Magnoliopsida; Rosales; Rosaceae. The record is from RNAcentral.
AUGUGUUACCCGGCAGCUAGGGUUUUGGAAGUGCUCACAUAUAAGGCCUUGCUUCUCGCUUUACAGCGGCUAAGAGAACCCUAAGCCACCCAAGCGUCGACGCUGCUAGAUCCAUCGUUUUCUUUCCGAGAUGGCCAAGUCGAAGAAUCACACCGCCCACAACCAGUCCCGAAAGGCCCACAGGAACGGUAUCAAGAAGCCUAAGAGGCACCGCCACACUUCCACCAAAGGGAUGGACCCCAAGUUUCUGAGGAACCAGAGGUACGCCAGGAAGCACAACAACACCAAGAACGAAUCCGCCUCCGGUGAAGAGUAGAGUGAGGCCUUCCAAUCAUGGCUCUGAUUGGGUUUUUCUCGAUUAGGGUAUUUUGAUUUCGAUGCCGUUUUAUGCUUACUUUGUCGUUAGUAACAUAGUAGUUUGAUGUUACUCAAGUGGGAUUUAUUUCAAUUUCAUGUACGAGCAGUACUCCUAAUUUAUUACUUCUGUUAAAGAGAUUACGAGGUUUUGAGAUACUUUCUGUGGUUCUGCAUUCUUUUUAUCGAUUGAAAUCGACGAACGCUUAAUCGUAAUCUUAUUAAAAUGGUAUGGAAUUUCAAUUUCUUUAAUUUAGAUUACUUGUAUGGAUUGGAUUGUGGUUGAUAAUUGUAUUUGGGUUCGAUAAGGUAGGAGCUAGUUGCUCUAAUUUUUAGCAAGCAUUUUUG